This 797-nucleotide ribosomal RNA is filed under the name Nitzschia cf. agnita. RNAcentral's name for it is "LSU rRNA". It matches the Rfam family "Eukaryotic large subunit ribosomal RNA", at positions 30 to 915 of the family's 3401-position model. The record is from RNAcentral. Lineage: Eukaryota; Bacillariophyta; Bacillariophyceae; Bacillariales; Bacillariaceae.
GAAUUUAAGCAUAUAAUUAAGCGGAGGAAAAGAAACUAACCAGGAUUCCCUCAGUAAGGGCGACUGAAGCGGGAAGAGCUCAAGAUGUGAAUCUGCGCUAUAUUGCGCCGAAUUGUGGUCUGUAGACAGUGACAUUACUAGCCGGGCCAAGUCCCUUGGAACAGGGCGGCUGAGAGGGUGAGACCCCCGUUCGCCUGGCAAGAUGAGUUACUAGUCAACGAGUCGAGUUGUUUGGGAUUGCAGCUCAAAGCGGGUGGUAAAUUCCAUCUAAAGCUAAAUAUUGGUGGGAGACCGAUAGCGUACAAGUACCGUGAGGGAAAGAUGCAAAGAACUUUGAAAAGAGAGUUAAAGAGUACCUGAAAUUGCUGAAAGGGAAGCGAAGGAAACCAGUGUUUGCGUAGUCAUAUUUCCCUGUCCGCUUGCGGUUUGGGCGCUGUGUCUUGCUUGUGUUGUUUUUGGUUGGACCCUCUGGAAGAGCGCAGUUCAGUCUGUUGCUAGCAUUGGAUCUGACUGAGUACGACGAAAUGGUUUUCUUUACCCCGUCUUGAAACACGGACCAAGGAGUCUAACAUAUGUGCGAGUACAGGGGUGGCAAACCCCCGUGCGCAAUGAAAGUGACAGUGGUUGGAAUUUUGCACAAUCCGCCGGCCUCAAUCCCUCGGGAGAACGGUCUGAGUGUGAGCAUACAUGUUGGGACCCGAAAGAUGGUGAACUAUGCCUGAAUAGGGUGAAGCCAGGGGAAACUCUGGUGGAGGCUCGUAGCGAUUCUGACGUGCAAAUCGAUCGUCAAAUUUGGG